RNAcentral lists this ribosomal RNA (490 nucleotides) under uncultured bacterium. RNAcentral's name for it is "partial 16S ribosomal RNA". It matches the Rfam family "Bacterial small subunit ribosomal RNA", at positions 30 to 507 of the family's 1533-position model. The record is from RNAcentral.
AUUGAACGCUGGCGGCAGGCCUAACACAUGCCAGUCGAACGGUAACAGGAAAUAGCUUGCUGUUUCGCUGACGAGUGGCGGACGGGUGAGUCAUGUCUGGGAAACUGCCCGAUGGAGGGGGAUAACUACUGGAAACGGUAGCUAAUACCGCAUAACGUCGCAAGACCAAAGAGGGGGACCUUCGGGCCUCUUGUCAUCGGAUGUGCCCAGAUGGGAUUAGCUAGUAGGUGGGGUAACGGCUCACCUAGGCGACGAUCACUAGCUGGUCUGAGAGGAUGACCAGCCACACUGGAACUGAGACACGGUCCAGACACCUACGUGAGGCAGCAGUGGGGAAUAUUGCGCAAGGGGCGCAAGCCUAAUGCAGCCAUGCCGCGUGUAUGAAGAAGGCCUUCGGGUUGUAAAGUACUUUCAGCGUGGAGGAAGGGAGUAAAUUUAAUACCUUUACUCAUUGACGGUACCCGCAGAAUAAGCACCGGCUAACUCCGUG